AGGGCACCACCAGGAGUGGAGCCUGCGGCUUAAUUUGACUCAACACGGGGAAACUUACCAGGUCCAGACACAAUAAGGAUUGACAGAUUGAGAGCUCUUUCAUGAUUUUGUGGGUGGUGGUGCAUGGCCGUUCUUAGUUGGUGGAGUGAUUUGUCUGCUUAAUUGCGAUAACGAACGAGACCUUAACCUACUAAAUAGUGGUGCUAGCAUUUGCUGGUUAUCCACUUCUUAGAGGGACUAUCGGUUUCAAGCCGAUGGAAGUUUGAGGCA
RNAcentral lists this ribosomal RNA (270 nucleotides) under uncultured eukaryote. Its description in RNAcentral is "partial small subunit ribosomal RNA". It matches the Rfam family "Eukaryotic small subunit ribosomal RNA", at positions 1161 to 1452 of the family's 1831-position model. The record is from RNAcentral.